Labrus bergylta (ballan wrasse) is the source of this 2056-nucleotide long non-coding RNA. RefSeq lists it as uncharacterized. The record is from RefSeq and is a predicted model, not a curated record. NCBI's taxonomy places the organism in Eukaryota, Metazoa, Chordata, Actinopteri, Labriformes, Labridae.
UUUAGAGAUCGUUUGUGGCACAUGGUAUCUUUGUUUGUCAGCUGACACCCCCCUUUCAGGAUGACAAACUUUAUGUCUUCUGUUCCUGACGAGAUGUUCUCCUUUGGGUUACCUGGAUGAACCCUCCAUCAAUCAUGUCCUGAGUCACUCAUCGGCUCACUCUUUAUUGACACUGUCACAUCUUCACCAUCACACAGACUCAGGGUUCCUGUGUGCCUGUAUGUAACAUCAGUAAAGCUGUCAAGCAACCAGGCCAAGGUAAACAGCCCAGCACCGGGUUCAGGGGUGACGGGGGCCGAGAUGUUUUUCCUCAGGAACCCAGGGACCCCCGGAGGCUUCUGGCUGGGGCCAGGGAGGGGCCGAGGGGGGGAAGAUGAUCCCCUCAGUUGCCCCCCACAUGAACACACAACAACGGGUCUCUCUCAUUUCUCUCUUUUACAGAAUCUCAUUGACAAAUGUACGAUAAAUCAUCAGCACUCACAUACUCCCCUUACUCACAUUUUGCUGCUUAUAUCAUCCGAGUGUUGACAUAGAAAUAUACACAUGUAUGCCUUAAAAUAUGUCCAAAAGAUACAGUAUGCAGAAUGUCAGAGUUCCCAAAUCAAAAAUGUAAUUAGAUUUUGUUCCAACUCUCUGCUGCUCGUGGUUUUAUGAGAUACUUUAGGUGAACUUCUAAUAGGAUCUUGGCUUCUUGUUAUUCUUGGGGGAAUGUGGCAAUCAUUUAUUUCACUUGAAUAGGAAAAACUAGGAGGAACAAGAGGAGAAGGAGGAGUAGGGCUGUCCAAAAAGGAGAACAUGGAAGAGAAAGAAAUAUAGCAAAGGGAGAGGGAGUUAAACGGUGAAUAUGGAUGGAUUGAUAGAAGGAUAUUGGGGAGAAAUGAUAUCUUUAACCCAGGCGUGACCCCUCUCAGCCCUAGCAAGCUGCUCCCUAAGAGGGAGGCAGACAGCCCGGAGAGGGAGAGCAAAGAUAGGGUCCAUCCAGAGGUUGCAAAUCAGAGGCAGCACUAAAAACACAGCAAACUGGGAACAUGAGAGACAGAAAAAAAAGGCAGUGAGCACUGGGAGUUGAAGAAGAGACUAAAAAAGAAAAUAAAAAAAAAAGUGGAGAAGGAUUUAAUGGAGAAAGGAACAAGGUCAGGGGAGAAAAAGAAAGAAGGGAGGCAGAGGGCAAAAUUGUUGAAAGAAAACUUGAGCCAGUCAAGCCAAGAAAAGCAUGUAGAAUUGAAUUAGGGGAGGGGAGAGCCACUGAGCAAACCAACAGGAGAGGAAAGUAGGGGUGCAAGGAGGAAGAGGAGGACCAUUACCCUUUGUACAUCAGCCGUUACAUCCCCUGGCGGCUGCCGUUGAGUGUGUGUAUGUGUGUGUGUAAGGAGUGGGGGGAUUCGAGAUCAUUUGGGAGGGGUAAAACGAAGAACAGAUUAAGCAGGAAGAUAGGUUAAGACCAGACUUUAUUCCAGUCUACAGGCAUGCAUUUAUAAGAAUUUACUAUCCGUCAUGUCAUCAUUUACUUCCAAUGAACUGCAACGCUUCACAAAACCUUUAAUCUCCUCUUGCCCUUAAAAGCCUACCUGCGACUGGAGUCCUCUUCCUGUUCCUGUUUCCCAGCAGCCCUUAGUCAUCCUGUUGCUGCAGCCUGUACCUCAUCAAUUUAGCACUACCACAAUGGUCUGUGACAGGCCUGCCACACGGACAGCCUGUCCCUGCCAACCAGCCCACAAUACAUGAGAAGACAAACAGACACGAACAACUCACUUCCCUCCUCCCAAAACUGUGUUGGCGCCUGACUGUGUGGCCCUACCCUCUCUCGCUGAAAUCACUCUUCCUCUGUUAAAAAAAGAAAAACUACUCAGCUGCUAUUACUGUAAAAUGCUAGGGUAACACUUUGGACCUAAAUUCCAGCUCUAGAUAUUUGAGCAAGUUUUGUUUCACUUUCAUUUUCUCUUGAGGAGGAAACUUACUGACUUCAGAAACUCCCACACUUUUCCAAGCACCACAAUGAGGAUAACAUUCAUAUAACACAGGAAUAAAAAAAUAAAACAACUACAGUCUGAAUUUG